UUGACCUGGUGGCACUUUGCUGGAGUUCACUGAUGCUGGUGAAGAUGAGAUCUAGUCCUGUAGCCUGCCUCCAAAAGAGCUGUAUCUGUGUUCUGUGUGCUACCCAUCAGCCCUCCAGUGCCAUCACCCUGUGAUCUUGUCUGCACAACCUCUGGCACUUGACAGAGCUUGAAGGCUGGAAGCUUUUAUGGGCAAGAUGGCACCUGAGACCCUGGGGAUUUGCUGUCACCUCUGCUGCACCACCGGAUGGGCUGUGGCGAUGGGGGCAGUCGCAAAGCAAAUGAUGUCCUGCAAGGAAAAUAUCCACAGCCUGACAGCGUCAGCAUAUGCUCCAUUCA
This is a long non-coding RNA of Pogoniulus pusillus (Red-fronted tinkerbird), 338 nucleotides long. RefSeq lists it as uncharacterized. The transcript has 3 exons. The record is from RefSeq and is a predicted model, not a curated record. NCBI's taxonomy places the organism in Eukaryota, Metazoa, Chordata, Aves, Piciformes, Lybiidae.